Molecule: ribosomal RNA, 262 nt
Filed under: uncultured archaeon
Lineage: Archaea
Description: partial 16S ribosomal RNA
Rfam family: Archaeal small subunit ribosomal RNA
Source: RNAcentral
CGUCUACAUUAGAUACCCGCGUAGUCCUAGCCGUAAACGAUACUCGCUAGGUGUCGGCCACGGUGCGACCGUUGUCGGUGCCGUAGGGAAGCCGUGAAGCGAGCCACCUGGGAAGUACGGCCGCAAUGCUGAAACUUAAAGGAAUUGGCGGGGGAGCACAACAACGGGUGGAGCUUGCGGUUUAAUUGGAUUCAACGCCGGAAAUCUUACCGGGACCGACAGCAACAUGAAGGCCAAGCUGAAGACUUUGCCGGAUUAGCUG